GAAAUCUUCGUUGUCAGCCUUUUCCCCAUCAGACAAUAAUAUUUCUUUUGCGGGUCUCUCAGCAUCUAUAAUAUGGUGCAGAAUGCCAAGGCUUCUGACCAAAGGGAGAACCUGUGAGUGCCACAACAAAAAGUUCGUGUUGUCUAGUUUAAUGGACACAAGACUUGAGCAUUGAUGAAAAGACUGAAUAUUUAGACUUGGCUCUUUGAUAAAGGAUGAAGAGGUUAUAUUGCUAGUACUCAAAAGAGGUUUUAUUGCUAGUACUCAUGGCUGGCUCUGAUACCAUGAAAAAAUUCUAUGAAGAGUAUAAUUCUUGUUCUGUAAUUUUAAUGAAAUUUACAUAGUUAUUUAUACAAAAUAAAGACAAAGUAGCCGUUGAAAGGCUUAAUAAUAUUAAAGGAAAAUAAGUAACUUCCUAAACUAUUGCACAAUAUCUUUAUAAAAUAGGAAUGAAAUAUUCCUACAUGAUAUUGGCAUUCAAGUGUAAAAAUCGUGCUGGAGAUAUUCCUUGACAAAUAGCUUUGACGUGAGCAAGCUGUGUGGAGUGAUAAACCCUUUGUUGACUUGACCGUUGAUGACUUUCCUUUUGGUAAUCUUGGUCAGCUUGCUUAACA
RNAcentral lists this long non-coding RNA (614 nucleotides) under Citrus sinensis (sweet orange). RNAcentral's name for it is "long non-coding RNA (CSIN_LNC004305)". The record is from RNAcentral. Lineage: Eukaryota; Viridiplantae; Streptophyta; Magnoliopsida; Sapindales; Rutaceae.